GCGCAUGCGCCGACAAUAUUCACACGGAAGCCUCAGCCAAUGAGUUUCGCGGGCUUUGUUCUGAAGGUAAACAUAGAUUGGCAUCUGAAGUCUGAGAAAUCAAGACAUGUUUUUCUAUUCCGCACAAAGCAGUUAAAGCCACUCUCUCUUUUAAUCAACAUGUGAGUUCAUGGUCAGGGUUGUCCAGAGAUUUCCACGUCUCGUCGGGCCGUAAUGGAGCUCCUUGACUCAACCCUCUGAAAAUCAGGGUCACGCAUUGGACCAAGAUCACCAGCUUCCGCAUAUUGGAGAGAGCAGGCGGCUGUAUGGGAAGUAACAAGCCUAAGUCCUCCCCACUUGAAGGAUCAGAACAAACUUGAAUUUAAUCACACAAACAGGUUAAUGCAGCAACAAAUUACAAAAGUUAUAUGUACUGUGGGUUAAAUCUAUACACAAAAGCCACCCUAGUAUUAUUCUCACUGACUUGUAUGUUAAAAACUUUGCUUCUUUAUUUUCCAAACCGAAAUUAAAAUACUGUAGAACAUUACAUAUGUUGAAAACAAAACUUACCACAAUUUGGGCUUUUCCUCCUCCCUGCUGAGCUGCUUAGUAACCUACAGGGAAAACUGAUCACUCUUAUAGCUGUAGAGACGCGCAAACAGCCAGUGGUUGUCAAUGACGUUAGCAGGUGGGGUUUCAAAGGGCAGUAAUAACUCUUUUUUUUUUUGUCCUUAACAACCGUUCAUUCUUAUUGCAGGUAUUUUUAACAGUAAGAAGUCCUGGUACAAUGCAAUCCUUCCUCCUCCUCCCCAUCUCCAGAUAUAAAAUCUUUUACAGAAUUAGGGGUAUUUGUUGUUAUCAUUAUUAGUGCUUCUUCGCUCUCAAAAGGGGGGAAAUGGACCUUGUAAUAGAGGAUAACUCUAAACAGAAGAUCUGAACCAGCCAAAUUAGGCCACAUGGAAACCACACUGAUUUCAAAUGGAGAGGUUAAGCACCCACUCAAGGGAGCCCUGGCUUAUGCUUCCCAGUCAUCAGAGUGACCAUCACCCCAUAGUCAGCUAUAAUAUUUUAGGCACACUUAUUGGAUCAACCAAGGCCAUUAAGAAGUGAGCUGUUCAUUUCUAGCAGUUGGUGACAUAGGGCAAGGUCACCAAUAUCUGAAUAGCCUCCAUUAAGUCCAGCUUAAUGGCGUGGGCUGGAUUGUUGCUGUGUGUUCUAGCUAAAAUUAUAACUCAGUCUUUCCUCCUGCAAAUGUUUCUCCAGGUCAACACAUCUCAGUUGUCUUCUUUCUCCUUGCUCUACUAUUAUUUCUGCUUGUAUUUCUUAGGUUUCUCUGGUGCAACAGCUUAUGCCAGUUUCUUCUAAAAUUACUGCCAAAUGCCAUGGAAAAGUGACAUACUGAUAGAACUCACGAUACUGAUGACAAUAACAAUAUUGUUUAAAAGUACUUUUUAAAGUAAUUGUAGAUGCUGAACUAUGUGUGGACAAUCUUGAUCUGGACUAACAAAACCAGAAUUGUUCAAAGGGUUAAAAAGACCUCCUCCCUCGUUGUGCCUGUGACACAUGAAACCAGAACACAUUAAUUGCACUUGAUUGAAAUCAAAAGUACAUGAUUCACUGGAGAGUGCUAAUUUAACAAAUGACUUUCUAGCCAUACCACAAAAUUGGUGCUUCUCCCACAUCUACACACAGCAGUUAGUUUAAUCAAACAAAGUAAUGUGCCAAAUUAAUUUGAAUGGGUAGUAAUUUCCUGUGGAAGGAAAUUAUAAGGUCAGUUUUAUUGGUCUAAUCAUACAUCAGCAUGGAGCAGUGACAAUUCAAAUUAUUCUGAGUCUCCAAUGUAACAGUUAUCCCCCCCCCCCCCC
This is a long non-coding RNA of Anolis carolinensis (green anole), 1844 nucleotides long. RefSeq lists it as uncharacterized. The record is from RefSeq and is a predicted model, not a curated record. The transcript is spliced from 3 exons. Lineage: Eukaryota; Metazoa; Chordata; Lepidosauria; Squamata; Anolidae.